Molecule: long non-coding RNA, 307 nt
Filed under: Solanum tuberosum (potato)
Lineage: Eukaryota; Viridiplantae; Streptophyta; Magnoliopsida; Solanales; Solanaceae
Description: long non-coding RNA (STUB_LNC007845)
Source: RNAcentral
UUUAGUAUAAAGUACAGAAAUCUCAACAUCCUAUUUCGGAAGUUUUCCCAAUUACCAAAAUUCCUAAAUGGGAGGGAUGUAUCCGAAAGGAGAUAGAGAUGUAUCUGAGAGGGGCUAGGAAUGUACCCGAGAGGAAAUGGAUGUAUCCGAGGGGAGAUACGGAUGUAUCCGACAUGAGACUUUUGUAUUUUUUUUAAACGGUAGGGACUUUAGAGAUUAUGAUAUCUUAAAUUGUGUAUAUAUGUAUUUUUUCCUAAUUUUAAUUUUUAACAUGACUUUAGCAUUAUUGUAUUUUUUUUCGACCCGC